This 2905-nucleotide ribosomal RNA is filed under the name Yersinia kristensenii. RNAcentral describes it as "bacterial LSU rRNA". It matches the Rfam family "Bacterial large subunit ribosomal RNA". Lineage: Bacteria; Pseudomonadati; Pseudomonadota; Gammaproteobacteria; Enterobacterales; Yersiniaceae. The record is from RNAcentral.
UUAAGCGACUAAGCGUACACGGUGGAUGCCUAGGCAGUCAGAGGCGAUGAAGGGCGUGCUAAUCUGCGAAAAGCGUCGGUAAGGUGAUAUGAACCGUUACAACCGACGAUACCCGAAUGGGGAAACCCAGUGCAAUUCGUUGCACUAUUGCAUGGUGAAUACAUAGCCAUGCAAGGCGAACCGGGGGAACUGAAACAUCUAAGUACCCCGAGGAAAAGAAAUCAACCGAGAUUCCCCUAGUAGCGGCGAGCGAACGGGGAGGAGCCCAGAGUCUGAAUCAGUUUGUGUGUUAGUGGAAGCGUCUGGAAAGUCGCACGGUACAGGGUGAUAGUCCCGUACACAAAAACACACUUGCUGUGAACUCGAUGAGUAGGGCGGGACACGUGACAUCCUGUCUGAAUAUGGGGGGACCAUCCUCCAAGGCUAAAUACUCCUGACUGACCGAUAGUGAACCAGUACCGUGAGGGAAAGGCGAAAAGAACCCCGGCGAGGGGAGUGAAAUAGAACCUGAAACCGUGUACGUACAAGCAGUGGGAGCACCUUCGUGGUGUGACUGCGUACCUUUUGUAUAAUGGGUCAGCGACUUAUAUUUUGUAGCAAGGUUAACCGAAUAGGGGAGCCGUAGGGAAACCGAGUCUUAACUGGGCGUCUAGUUGCAAGGUAUAGACCCGAAACCCGGUGAUCUAGCCAUGGGCAGGUUGAAGGUUGGGUAACACUAACUGGAGGACCGAACCGACUAAUGUUGAAAAAUUAGCGGAUGACUUGUGGCUGGGGGUGAAAGGCCAAUCAAACCGGGAGAUAGCUGGUUCUCCCCGAAAGCUAUUUAGGUAGCGCCUCGUGAACUCAUCUUCGGGGGUAGAGCACUGUUUCGGCUAGGGGGUCAUCCCGACUUACCAAACCGAUGCAAACUCCGAAUACCGAAGAAUGUUAUCACGGGAGACACACGGCGGGUGCUAACGUCCGUCGUGAAGAGGGAAACAACCCAGACCGCCAGCUAAGGUCCCAAAGUCAUGGUUAAGUGGGAAACGAUGUGGGAAGGCAUAGACAGCCAGGAUGUUGGCUUAGAAGCAGCCAUCAUUUAAAGAAAGCGUAAUAGCUCACUGGUCGAGUCGGCCUGCGCGGAAGAUGUAACGGGGCUAAACCAUGCACCGAAGCUGCGGCAGCGACACUUAGGUGUUGUUGGGUAGGGGAGCGUUCUGUAAGCCGUUGAAGGUGACCUGUGAGGGUUGCUGGAGGUAUCAGAAGUGCGAAUGCUGACAUAAGUAACGAUAAUGCGGGUGAAAAACCCGCACGCCGGAAGACCAAGGGUUCCUGUCCAACGUUAAUCGGGGCAGGGUGAGUCGACCCCUAAGGCGAGGCUGAAAAGCGUAGUCGAUGGGAAACAGGUUAAUAUUCCUGUACUUGGUGUUACUGCGAAGGGGGGACGGAGAAGGCUAGGCUAGCCGGGCGACGGUUGUCCCGGUUUAAGCAUGUAGGCGGAGCGACUUGGUAAAUCCGGUUGCUUAUCAACGCUGAGGUGUGAUGACGAGUCACUACGGUGAUGAAGUAGUUGAUGCCAAGCUUCCAGGAAAAGCCUCUAAGCAUCAGGUAACAUUAAAUCGUACCCCAAACCGACACAGGUGGUCAGGUAGAGAAUACUCAGGCGCUUGAGAGAACUCGGGUGAAGGAACUAGGCAAAAUGGUGCCGUAACUUCGGGAGAAGGCACGCUGGCAUUAGGUAAAGGGACUUGCUCCCGGCGCCGAAGCCAGUCGCAGAUACCAGCUGGCUGCAACUGUUUAAUAAAAACACAGCACUGUGCAAACACGAAAGUGGACGUAUACGGUGUGACGCCUGCCCGGUGCUGGAAGGUUAAUUGAUGGGGUCAGCCGCAAGGCGAAGCUCUUGAUCGAAGCCCCAGUAAACGGCGGCCGUAACUAUAACGGUCCUAAGGUAGCGAAAUUCCUUGUCGGGUAAGUUCCGACCUGCACGAAUGGCGUAAUGAUGGCCAGGCUGUCUCCACCCGAGACUCAGUGAAAUUGAACUCGCUGUGAAGAUGCAGUGUACCCGCGGCAAGACGGAAAGACCCCGUGAACCUUUACUAUAGCUUGACACUGAACAUUGAGCCUUGAUGUGUAGGAUAGGUGGGAGGCAUUGAAGUGUGGACGCCAGUCUGCAUGGAGCCAACCUUGAAAUACCACCCUUUAAUGUUUGAUGUUCUAACUCGGCCCCGUAAUCCGGGGUGAGGACAGUGUCUGGUGGGUAGUUUGACUGGGGCGGUCUCCUCCCCAAGAGUAACGGAGGAGCACGAAGGUUAGCUAAUCACGGUCGGACAUCGUGAGGUUAGUGCAAAGGCAUAAGCUAGCUUGACUGCGAGAGUGACGGCUCGAGCAGGUACGAAAGUAGGUCUUAGUGAUCCGGUGGUUCUGAAUGGAAGGGCCAUCGCUCAACGGAUAAAAGGUACUCCGGGGAUAACAGGCUGAUACCGCCCAAGAGUUCAUAUCGACGGCGGUGUUUGGCACCUCGAUGUCGGCUCAUCACAUCCUGGGGCUGAAGUAGGUCCCAAGGGUAUGGCUGUUCGCCAUUUAAAGUGGUACGCGAGCUGGGUUUAGAACGUCGUGAGACAGUUCGGUCCCUAUCUGCCGUGGGCGUUGGAAGAUUGAGAGGGGCUGCUCCUAGUACGAGAGGACCGGAGUGGACGAAUCACUGGUGUUCGGGUUGUCAUGCCAAUGGCAUUGCCCGGUAGCUAAAUUCGGAAGAGAUAACCGCUGAAAGCAUCUAAGCGGGAAACUUGCCUCGAGAUGAGUCUUCCCUGGGGCUUUAAGCCCCCUGAAGGAACGUUAAAGACUAUGACGUUGAUAGGCUGGGUGUGUAAGUGCAGCGAUGCAUUGAGCUAACCAGUACUAAUGAUCCGUGAGGCUUAACCUU